Molecule: unclassified non-coding RNA, 386 nt
Filed under: uncultured fungus
Lineage: Eukaryota; Fungi
Description: sequence contains ITS1
Rfam family: 5.8S ribosomal RNA (bases 1-101)
Source: RNAcentral
CAAACGCGAUAUCUAAUAUGAAUUGCAGGCUUCUGUGAAUCAUCGAACCUUUGAACGUACUGCGCCCGGAUUAACCUCUGGGCACAUUCGGUUGAGUGACAAUUUUUAUCGUGGAUCCGCCCCGCAACAGUUUACUGGAGCGCGGGUAGACCGAUUUCAGCGCGCUUGAUUCACAAUCAAUCCGCUCAGAUACGGCAAAACUCGCUCGUGCUUGCGCGCCUCGGAAGUCAGAUUGAUUUAUCGGUUAGGGGGAAAGGGCGUGCGGGCGCAGCGAUAAUAAGGGCUUUGCUUAUUUUUGUUAACCUUGCUUUAGCAGGGGAACCCCAUAUUUAUAUACAAAUUUUGUAUCUGUCCUCAGCUCGAGUGAGACUACCCGCUGAACUUAA